RNAcentral lists this long non-coding RNA (610 nucleotides) under Phaseolus vulgaris (common bean). RNAcentral describes it as "long non-coding RNA (PVUL_LNC002112)". Lineage: Eukaryota; Viridiplantae; Streptophyta; Magnoliopsida; Fabales; Fabaceae. The record is from RNAcentral.
AUGAUGCUGAUCAUGCCGUCCACGCCGACGUCGCCAUUGGGCGGAGUCAGUUGGCCGGGGCCGCCUCCGCCCAUGUAGCCGGGGACGGCAAAGGGGUAGGCGCAGAGCUCCGGGCACUGCUUGCCGGAGUUCCCAACCCAGGCGUAGGGUAGCGUGUAGCCGACUUUGGAGGGGAAGGUGAAGUAGUGGAAGCCGCAGACGGCGCGGCAGAAGUCCUCCAUGGUGACGUCCUCCGCCGUGAGGAUCAGGUAGAUCCCGUUGCGGUGGUCGACGGGGAAGGGCUUUGCGUGGACGGCGGUGGCGAUGACGUCCUGCACGGAUAGGCGCGUGAGGUGCGUGCCGUGGGAGUAGUGGAGGUCGGCGUACUCGCCGGCGAUGGAGACGGAACGGGAGAUGUUGGCGCCGGUCUGGUCAGUGUAGAGGGAGACGGUUUGCCACCAGUCGGAGACGGAGGGAGAGGGGGAGACGCGGCGGUCGGAGGCGGAGAUGGAGAGGAGGAAGUCCUUGAUGAGAAGCUUCUGCGAUUGGGGCCACUUGCCGUACCAAAUGAGGUAGAUGUUGAUCGGGGAAGACAACACCGGCCCCAUGUGGUAUUUGAGCUUCACGAACU